RNAcentral lists this ribosomal RNA (465 nucleotides) under uncultured bacterium. Its description in RNAcentral is "bacterial SSU rRNA". It matches the Rfam family "Bacterial small subunit ribosomal RNA", at positions 329 to 792 of the family's 1533-position model. The record is from RNAcentral.
UGCCAGACUCCUACGGGAGGCAGCAGUGAGGAAUAUUGGUCAAUGGCCGAGAGGCUGAACCAGCCAAGUCGCGUGAGGGAAGAAUGUCCUAAGGAUUGUAAACCUCUUUUGUCGGGGAGCAAAAAGGCUCUGCGGAGUCGUAUUGAGAGUACUCGAAGAAAAAGCAUCGGCUAACUCCGUGCCAGCAGCCGCGGUAAUACGGAGGAUGCGAGCGUUAUCCGGAUUUAUUGGGUUUAAAGGGUGCGUAGGCGGAAUAUCAAGUCAGCGGUAAAAAUUCGGGGCUCAACCCCGUCGUGCCGUUGAAACUGAUGUUCUUGAGUGGGCGAGAAGUAUGCGGAAUGCGUGGUGUAGCGGUGAAAUGCAUAGAUAUCACGCAGAACUCCGAUUGCGAAGGCAGCAUGCCGGCUCCACACUGACGCUGAGGCACGAAAGCGUGGGUAUCGAACAGGAUUAGAUACCCUCGUA